Molecule: ribosomal RNA, 366 nt
Filed under: Theileria orientalis
Lineage: Eukaryota; Apicomplexa; Aconoidasida; Piroplasmida; Theileriidae
Description: SSU rRNA
Rfam family: Eukaryotic small subunit ribosomal RNA
Source: RNAcentral
GGAAUUUAAACCUCUUCCAGAGUAUCAAUUGGAGGGCAAGUCUGGUGCCAGCAGCCGCGGUAAUUCCAGCUCCAAUAGCGUAUAUUAAAAUUGUUGCAGUUAAAAAGCUCGUAGUUGAAUUUCUGCUGCAUUACAUAUCUCUUGUUUGAGUUUGUUUUUGUGGCUUAUUUCGGUUUGAUUUUUUCUUUCCGGAUGAUUACUUUGAGAAAAUUAGAGUGCUCAAAGCAGGCUUUUGCCUUGAAUAGUUUAGCAUGGAAUAAUAAAGUAGGACUUUGGUUCUAUUUUGUUGGUUUUAGGUACCAAAGUAAUGGUUAAUAGGAACAGUUGGGGGCAUUCGUAUUUAACUGUCAGAGGUGAAAUUCUUAG